Molecule: ribosomal RNA, 900 nt
Filed under: uncultured archaeon
Lineage: Archaea
Description: bacterial SSU rRNA
Rfam family: Archaeal small subunit ribosomal RNA
Source: RNAcentral
GCCGGACCUGACUGCUAUCGGAUUGAUACUAAGCCAUGCGAGUCAUUGUAGCAAUACAAGGCAUACGGCUCAGUAACGCGUAGUCAACCUAACCUAUGGACGGGAAUAACCUCGGGAAACUGAGAAUAAUGCCCGAUAGAACAUUAUACCUGGAAUGGUUUAUGUUCCAAAUGAUUUAUCGCCGUAGGAUGGGACUGCGGCCUAUCAGUUUGUUGGUGAGGUAAUGGCCCACCAAGACUAUUACAGGUACGGGCUCUGAGAGGAGUAGCCCGGAGAUGGGUACUGAGACACGGACCCAGGCCCUAUGGGGCGCAGCAGGCGAGAAAACUUUGCAAUGUGCGAAAGCACGACAAGGUUAAUCCGAGUGAUUUCUGCUAAAGAAAUCUUUUGUUAGUCCUAGAAACACUAACGAAUAAGGGGUGGGCAAGUUCUGGUGUCAGCCGCCGCGGUAAAACCAGCACCUCAAGUGGUCAGGAUGAUUAUUGGGCCUAAAGCAUCCGUAGCCGGCUUUGUAAGUUUUCGGUUAAAUCUGUACGCUUAACGUACAGGCCGCCGGGAAUACUGCAAAGCUAGGGAGUGGGAGAAGUAGACGGUACUCGGUAGGAAGUGGUAAAAUGCUUUGAUCUAUCGAUGACCACCUGUGGCGAAGGCGGUCUUCUAGAACACGUCCGACGGUGAGGGAUGAAAGCUGGGGGAGCAAACCGGAUUAGAUACCCGGGUAGUCCCAGCUGUAAACUAUGCAAACUCAGUGAUGCAUUGGCUUGUGGCCAAUGCAGUGCUGCAGGGAAGCCGUUAAGUUUGCCGCCUGGGAAGUACGUACGCAAGUAUGAAACUUAAAGGAAUUGGCGGGGGAGCACCACAAGGGGUGAAGCCUGCGGUUCAAUUGGAUUCAACGCCGGG